Molecule: long non-coding RNA, 1248 nt
Organism: Arabidopsis thaliana (thale cress)
Lineage: Eukaryota; Viridiplantae; Streptophyta; Magnoliopsida; Brassicales; Brassicaceae
Product: other RNA
Exons: 2
Source: RefSeq
UUGAAUUAGUUAGCCCCAUAUGGUUCCUAUUAAGUAUCUUAGAGCAUCUCCAACGGGAGAAAAAUGGAGCUCUCAUGACAGUCUCUCUAAAUUAUUGUGGAAAAAAAUAAAUCAUAAAGGUUUAAUACUGAGAGAAUCGUUUCUCUUAAGAGAGAUUUUGGAGCUGAAGAGAGACGCAUACGUGUCGUUGUUUUUCAGUAUUUCUUUUUUUUUUCCGUUUUUUUUCUCUACUAUCAUCUUUUCACUGGGACUUUGAGGAUCAUUGGACUUACCUGAAACGAGCUGGCCGACGUUGAUUUCGGUAGGCUUAUCGGCUCUGAGAUUCAUGGAUUCCAUACUUUGCAAGGUUUGUUCUUCUAAUCUUAUCGUUCGUCUUGAUUCAUAGAACUGUUUUUGUUUGUUCUUAAAUUCGAUUGUCUCUCGGUUUUCAUUGUCCUAUUGUUUUUCUUUUAUUUUGUCUGUCUGGGUUUUGGACUUUUACUCUCGAUUGCUCUUUGAUUCUCGUAGCUAUUGAACUAGAAUUUGCAAAAGGUUGUGGAAUUUGAGGUUCUAAUUGUGAUUUUAAUGUGGUGAUUUGGAAAAGAAUUUAGGGACAUUUUAGGUUGAUUAAGGGAUCUUGGCUUUGAUUUGAGAUACCCAUCUAACGUGAAGAAGCUAGUGAAGUAUAUUUCAACCCCACCUGUGAGAGAGCUUCAGGGGAUAAUCCAUUUGGGUGGGUAUUUUUCUGGCUGUACCACUUGCAGUUUCUCAAAAGUGAGUGAAGGAACUCAUUUUGGUUGAUUAUACUCUGAGUGAAGGAACUCAUUUUCGUUGGUUCUGCUCUUCUAAGUGAAGAGGGCUUACAAGCUUGGAAAGGUGAUGGCCAUGUGUUUAGAUUGUUGGUGCAUCUAUGUACUUUCCAUAGAUCUUCCUUUGCAAUCAUUUAGUGGUGAACCUGAUAUGUUGUUAUUUCCUGCAGCAAGUUUCCAACAGAGUAAUAUCAUGUCUGACCGGAACCAUACAACGGAACAUUCCACAUAUCGUUUUACAUUUCUAUUGACCUUGACCUUUAUGUUUUAAUUUGUCAAGAAGUCUACUGCAUUUCUAUUCUCUCCUAUCUCAUUCCUCUUUAUUUACUUGCUUUCACAUGGUAAGGAAUUGUGAAUAUAUGGUCUCAGCCUCUCAUGUUAGACAUUUCUUCUAUGAUUCUCAUUUUUUCUAUUGUGAAUAAUUUUUUUUCCAGACAACUCUUUUAAAAGAGACUUACCA